This 774-nucleotide ribosomal RNA is filed under the name uncultured Neocallimastigales. RNAcentral's name for it is "partial large subunit ribosomal RNA". It matches the Rfam family "Eukaryotic large subunit ribosomal RNA", at positions 24 to 643 of the family's 3401-position model. Lineage: Eukaryota; Fungi; Neocallimastigomycota; Neocallimastigomycetes; Neocallimastigales. The record is from RNAcentral.
UAUGUGAUCGUCUCUCGCAUAUCAAUAAGCGGAGGAAAAGAAACUAACGAGGAUUCCCCUAGUAACGGCGAGUGAAGCGGGAAGAGCUCAAAUUUGAAAUCUUAAAGGGUUUCCCUUUACGAAUUGUAGUUUAAAGAAGUGUUUUCUGUUGAGGUUUUGGUAAAAGUUCUUUGGAAUAGGACAUCAUAGAGGGUGAGAAUCCCGUAUUUGACCUUUACUUUCAACUUUGUGAUACACUUUCAAAGAGUCGGAUUGUUUGGGAAUGCAGUCCAAAAUGGGUGGUAAAUUUCAUCUAAAGCUAAAUACUGGCGAGAGACCGAUAGCGAACAAGUACCGUGAGGGAAAGAUGAAAAGAACUUUGAAAAGAGAGUUAAACAGUACGUGAAAUUGUCAAAAGGGAAGCGUUUGACACCAGUGUUGUUUUUCUGAAAAUCAAUUAAAGAACUGUUUAUGCUAAGUUGUUUAGACUUUAUCAGCUAACUGUUUAGUUUUGAGCUUUUCUUUAAUGCACUUUUCAGUUAACAAGUCAACAUCAAUUUCUUUUGCUGUAAAAAAGCUUGAGGAAGGUGGCUUGAGAUUCGUCUUAAGUGUUUAUAGCCUCUUGCCUAUGCAGUCGGAGAGAUUGAGGUCUGCAGCGUAGAUCCUUCGGGGCUAAAUGCAUUUGUGCUAAGUUAUAGCAUUUUAUAGACAACUUGUUGACUAUGAUUUGUCUUGUAGCUUACUCGCUUAUGUUAUUUUACCUACGCUUAGGAUGUUGACACACGCGCGUGCUCG